UACAACUUUUGACAACGGAUCUCUUGGCUCUCGCAUCGAUGAAGAACGCAGCGAAAUGCGAUAAGUAAUGUGAAUUGCAGAAUUCAGUGAAUCAUCGAAUCUUUGAACGCACCUUGCGCCCCUUGGUAUUCCGAGGGGCAUGCCUGUUUGAGUGUCAUUAAAUUCUCAAC
Molecule: ribosomal RNA, 170 nt
Filed under: Fistulina hepatica
Lineage: Eukaryota; Fungi; Basidiomycota; Agaricomycetes; Agaricales; Fistulinaceae
Also listed under: 2 other names
Description: 5.8S ribosomal RNA
Rfam family: 5.8S ribosomal RNA
About the family: 5.8S ribosomal RNA (5.8S rRNA) is a component of the large subunit of the eukaryotic ribosome. It is transcribed by RNA polymerase I as part of the 45S precursor that also contains 18S and 28S rRNA.
Source: RNAcentral